UUUAAUGGAGAGUUUGAUCCUGGCUCAGGACGAACGCUGGCGGCGUGCCUAAUACAUGCAAGUCGAGCGAGGGUUUU
This 77-nucleotide ribosomal RNA is filed under the name Brevibacillus halotolerans. RNAcentral describes it as "partial 16S ribosomal RNA". It matches the Rfam family "Bacterial small subunit ribosomal RNA", at positions 1 to 76 of the family's 1533-position model. Lineage: Bacteria; Bacillati; Bacillota; Bacilli; Caryophanales; Paenibacillaceae. The record is from RNAcentral.